Molecule: non-coding RNA, 448 nt
Organism: Mus caroli (Ryukyu mouse)
Lineage: Eukaryota; Metazoa; Chordata; Mammalia; Rodentia; Muridae
Source: RefSeq, a predicted model, not a curated record
AACAACAACAAAACAACAACACAAUUCAGUAGCUAAACAAAUUAGGGACCUGCCACUUUUGUGGUAAGUAACAACUUAGCUUCUGAUAUUGCCAGGGGUCCAACUGUACAGACUGGGCCUAAAUAAGCUGAGCUUCCUGAUGCUCUUCUCAUGCUGUGUUGCCAAGUUGCUGAAUUGUUCUUUGUGGUAUCAACCCUGCACAUUUGCUUGGGCUACUAAAUGAUCUCAGACCAUCAAGAAUGGGAAUAAAGGAGGAUGACCCUUGCAGUAAACCAGAUAAAACUCUAUGGUGACUUAAAUCCAGAAUGUGACCAUGAACUGAGCAAGGUCUAAAUUAUUAUGGUUCAGUAAAUUGUUGGUGAAACGGAUUGCACAGAGUGAAAUCGGAGAUAAGAACUGCACAUACGGUGUCCUGUCUUUAUUUUCUUCCCUAUGUUUAGAUUGAAAG